This 786-nucleotide ribosomal RNA is filed under the name uncultured archaeon. Its description in RNAcentral is "bacterial SSU rRNA". It matches the Rfam family "Archaeal small subunit ribosomal RNA", at positions 85 to 876 of the family's 1478-position model. The record is from RNAcentral.
ACGGCUCAGUAACACGUGGACAACCUACCCUAUGGAGGGGGAUAACCCCGGGAAACUGGGGAUAAUACCCCAUAGACUAUGAAUGCUGGAAUGCUUUGUAGUUGAAAGGUCCGCCGCCAUAGGAUGGGUCUGCGGCCGAUUAGGUUGUUGUUGGGGUAACGGCCCAACAAGCCUGUAAUCGGUACGGGUUGUGGGAGCAAGAGCCCGGAGAUGGAUUCUGAGACACGAAUCCAGGCCCUACGGGGCGCAGCAGGCGCGAAAACUUUACAAUGCGGGAAACCGUGAUAAGGGAACUCCGAGUGCCCGUAAAAUCGGGCUGUCCAUCUGUUUAAAUAACAGGUGAAGAAAGGGCCGGGCAAGACCGGUGCCAGCCGCCGCGGUAAUACCGGCGGCUCGAGUGGUGGCCACUAUUACUGGGCUUAAAGCGUUCGUAGCUGGUCUGUUAAGUCUCUGGGGAAAUCUACUGGCUUAACCAAUAGGCGUUUCAGGGAUACUGGCAGACUAGGGACCGGGAGAGGUGAGGGGUACUCCAGGGGUAGGAGUGAAAUCCUGUAAUCCUUGGGGGACCACCUGUGGCGAAGGCGCCUCACCAGAACGGCUCCGACAGUGAGGGACGAAAGCUGGGGGAGCAAACCGGAUUAGAUACCCGGGUAGUCCCAGCCGUAAACGAUGCGCGUUAGGUGUAUCGGUGACCACGAGUCACCGAGGUGCCGAAGAGAAAUCGUGAAACGUGCCGCCUGGGAAGUACGGUCGCAAGGCUGAAACUUAAAGGAAUUGGCGGGGGAG